GUGUUUGCAGGUGUAGCAUCAUCAAGAUUCACAUGCAAAUUAAAUGCAAGGUUGUGGCAGAUCUAUUUUUAAAGGGCCUUUUCAAAGUGAGAAUCUUGAUGAUGCUGCAUCAUCAAUAAA
Non-coding RNA from Solanum tuberosum (potato), 120 nucleotides. NCBI's taxonomy places the organism in Eukaryota, Viridiplantae, Streptophyta, Magnoliopsida, Solanales, Solanaceae. The record is from Rfam.